RNAcentral lists this long non-coding RNA (379 nucleotides) under Volvox carteri. RNAcentral's name for it is "long non-coding RNA (VCAR_LNC000913)". The record is from RNAcentral. Lineage: Eukaryota; Viridiplantae; Chlorophyta; Chlorophyceae; Chlamydomonadales; Volvocaceae.
CACGCCAAGCACGCCAUGAGUGAAGCAGACGUAAAUGGACCGAAUAAAAUGGGGAAAAGCGAGAUGUGAUUGGUCCGUGGUGCAGCGCGGCAAGCAGAACCAAGGUGAUGAUGGGCAGCAAAGGACAGCCUGAAGGUAGGAGGCACAUGCUUGUAUACACAAUGAAGAGCUAACCUCGUCGAAUUCAAGCUCGCCAGAUCCAUCAGGGUCAGCUUCGGACAUCAAUUCCGACAUAGCAUCCUUGGAAAUUGUAAAGCCCAGGGCCCCAAACGCGUGCAAAAUUUCUUUGACGUCCAGUGCGCCGCUGCCAUCGCUGUCCAACAUUUCGAAGCACUCCUGAAUUUCCGCACGCUGCUGGGCGGUCAUGGCUGCAAGCAAG